Molecule: ribosomal RNA, 592 nt
Filed under: Salmonella enterica subsp. enterica serovar Agbeni
Lineage: Bacteria; Pseudomonadati; Pseudomonadota; Gammaproteobacteria; Enterobacterales; Enterobacteriaceae
Description: partial 23S ribosomal RNA
Rfam family: Bacterial large subunit ribosomal RNA
Source: RNAcentral
GAGCACUGUUUCGGCUAGGGGGCCAUCCCGGCUUACCAACCCGAUGCAAACUGCGAAUACCGGAGAAUGUUAUCACGGGAGACACACGGCGGGUGCUAACGUCCGUCGUGAAGAGGGAAACAACCCAGACCGCCAGCUAAGGUCCCAAAGUCAUGGUUAAGUGGGAAACGAUGUGGGAAGGCCCAGACAGCCAGGAUGUUGGCUUAGAAGCAGCCAUCAUUUAAAGAAAGCGUAAUAGCUCACUGGUCGAGUCGGCCUGCGCGGAAGAUGUAACGGGGCUAAACCAUGCACCGAAGCUGCGGCAGCGACGCUUAUGCGUUGUUGGGUAGGGGAGCGUUCUGUAAGCCUGUGAAGGUGGCCUGUGAGGGUUGCUGGAGGUAUCAGAAGUGCGAAUGCUGACAUAAGUAACGAUAAAGCGGGUGAAAAGCCCGCUCGCCGGAAGACCAAGGGUUCCUGUCCAACGUUAAUCGGGGCAGGGUGAGUCGACCCCUAAGGCGAGGCCGAAAGGCGUAGUCGAUGGGAAACGGGUUAAUAUUCCCGUACUUGGUGUUACUGCGAAGGGGGGACGGAGAAGGCUAUGUUGGCCGGGCGA